Molecule: transfer RNA, 83 nt
Filed under: Brevibacterium rongguiense
Lineage: Bacteria; Bacillati; Actinomycetota; Actinomycetes; Micrococcales; Brevibacteriaceae
Also listed under: 1 other name
Rfam family: tRNA
About the family: Transfer RNA (tRNA) molecules are approximately 80 nucleotides in length. Their secondary structure includes four short double-helical elements and three loops (D, anti-codon, and T loops). Further hydrogen bonds mediate the characteristic L-shaped molecular structure. tRNAs have two regions of fundamental functional importance: the anti-codon, which is responsible for specific mRNA codon recognition, and the 3' end, to which the tRNAs corresponding amino acid is attached (by aminoacyl-tRNA synthetases). tRNAs cope with the degeneracy of the genetic code in two manners: having more than one tRNA (with a specific anti-codon) for a particular amino acid; and 'wobble' base-pairing, i.e. permitting non-standard base-pairing at the 3rd anti-codon position.
Source: Rfam by way of RNAcentral
GGCAGGUUACCCGAGCGGCCAAAGGGGACUGACUGUAAAUCAGUUGGCUUAUGCCUACAUAGGUUCGAAUCCUAUACCUGCCA